GCUUUAUCGCGGAAAAACUAUGACCCAUGACCUCUACAUGGCAGCUAGCUUUCGAUGAAUCAGCUCGAGCAAACGCUCAAAAUUUCCCCCUGCAAAUUAGGAUAACUAGACUGACGUCUGGAGUACGAAAUUCAUUUGGCUAAACACCAAGUACUGUCAUCUUAACCAUGAGUUCAAUUAAAGUAACACAUGGCUCAUCUCACAAGUAUGCAGUGCAGGGAAAGAGGACCAAAGAUGCAUUAUCAAGGGAGGAGCAAGAUCUGUUUGAGCUAUGCAGUCUAGCAGGGGUGGAUAUAAGCCCUGCUGUUUUUAGGAUUAUUUUGGAUCUACUCCGGAUGAAUGUGUCUCCUGUUGCAAUUGUCCAGAUGUUAAAAUCAAUGGUGCAAAGAAGUGCCAAGAGUUCAACCACUUCGACAUUUCAAACUGUAUCUAGUAUGCAGACACCAUCUUCAUAUGUCACUGAACCUUCAAAGAACAGCAGCACAGCCAUGACGUCUGGUGCCUUAAAGACAAAAGAGAAUCAGCAUAGCAGUAAGCUGGGCAUGAAAACAACAAGGUCCAGACCACCUGCAAAGUAUUCACACAAGACCUGAAGUGUUUAUACAAAUGUAUAUGCAUGUACAUGUACAGUAUUUAACACUAUUUAAAGUGUAACAACUUUAAAACUGUUUGAUGCAACUUGAGUGUAUCUAAGUGCACGCUACAGCCCUAAAUGGACACAAAGAAAUGGUUUUUUUGCAAGAAUAACUGCCUCAUACUUUCAUAGGAAGCAGUGGAAUAGCGUUUGAGUGGGUCGACAUUCCUCCCCAACAACGUUCCCCAACAUAAAGAAAAGCGGAAAGAAAAAUAGCCAUUUCAUCUCACUUUAAUGCAUUUUCACAGCUCAUAACAAAGUCUAAGUAGACCCAAAACGACACAAAACGUUAGUAAUUAGAUACUACAUGUAUUUCCCGUCAAAAUUAGACCCGCCUCAAAAUGGUGUACAUGUUUGUAUUUGUUAUGGCUCACUUCACUUUCAGUUUCAUGCUGGCCAUUAGUUUUUUGCCCAGACAUCAUUUAUUUGAAAAAGAAUUAGCUGUAAGCAACCUGCUUAUAGUAUACACGUGCAUGUACAUGCAUGUAUGUACAAGAAGUACUCGCAACGGAAUUCAUUCAUUCAUUUACAUGAACAAAGAAAGAUGGCAUGAACAAUUUGUUCAAUUACAUGUGUAUUUUGGCAUUCUUGCAGAAACCGACGUUAUUGUGUUGAGCUUAUUUACGUACAUUUUGCUUCAGUACUAGCACUGUAUGCACUUAAUGGUGAAGACAGAAUUCCAUGGUAAAUUACACCCAUAUUAUUUAGCAGAAAGUCCUCAAGUUUGUCAUUUGUGCCUGCCUUUGCUUUAUUCACUUCACUUUACACUUCAUAAAUAGUCCAAGUAAAAGGCCAAGUGUCUUCACAUUUCACCAAUAUUUUUUUUACAACAAAAUGUUUCCCAAAGCAAGGUCUAGCAGAUCACAGAAUAUGGACACUACGUGUUCAUUUUAUUUUUGUUUUGUUCAUUUGUAAAGAACAAAUGAGUGUUUUUGACAGGAAGACUGAUGUCAUCAACCAUAUUGCACAUGAGAAGCGGCAGUAGUCUAACAUAAUGAGGCACAUUACAUCUGUCUUCAUCAAUUUCUAUGGCUUGGGAUCCAGAAGUUGAGGUGUGGGUAAAAGUUAUUCAAACAUGAAAACAGUAUGAGGCGUGAAGAGUAGUUUAGACUGGGUGCCAACUUGCAUUCUCUGUGAUUUGAUUGCAUGUACAUGUAUGCAUUUAUAAACAGAUGUUUGCAAUACGAACAUUAGUCCGGUCAAUUUAGAACAAAACAGGGCCUGACCUAGAACAAAUUGCAAUAGAAUUUAUUUUAAUGUGACCAUGCUAAGGAAAUAUCACUAUUUAACAUACUGAAAAUCUAAUUUCAUCAAAGGAGUGGGAAAGUGUUUUCAUUCACUUUUUCGCUACUAAUUUUUCAUAAUACGUAAACAGCCGUAUGGAGAGCGUCAUGUUUUCUUUUGCGCCCGUUACUCGUCAGAAAAUCCGUUCACAUCACGUAUGAGACUUUGCGAGACACGACUGAUCACAGCAGACGACUUUUCUAUGUCCACCAAUUAUUAAAACACUGCCGCACAAUACUAAAGGAUAUUUUUUUGACAAAAUCAAGAAAUUUGAGAUUGUUGUGCUUCCCGAAAUAUUUUUAGGUUAAUAUAAAUCACUUUGUGCCCCCCCAAAAAACAUUUGUUUCAUAGAAAAUCUUUGCAUAAAGAGGUCUACUUGAAUAAAAGGCAGAAAAUGAUAUACACAAA
This is a long non-coding RNA of Patiria miniata (bat star), 2326 nucleotides long. RefSeq lists it as uncharacterized. Lineage: Eukaryota; Metazoa; Echinodermata; Asteroidea; Valvatida; Asterinidae. The transcript has 3 exons. The record is from RefSeq and is a predicted model, not a curated record.